GCGGCACAGUCGAAGCGGUCAGAGAUGUUGAAGUCUGUUGAAAGGUGGAUACUAAGCUAAGCUGCUUACCGCGUCAAAAAAAAAAAGUUUUCAUUGGCACCACAAGAUAAACUAUUCAACUGGAUGGAAACCAAGGGCUGAUAUGAAAGAUAUGGAAGCAGAUGAUCUACUGUGGCAACCCCUAACUUGAGCAGCUGAAAGAAGAAGAAGAAGAAGGGCUUUCAGCAUUAUUGCUGAAAUUAAAACUGUUGAUUGAUGCCAUGUGACCUACAAUACUUAAAAAAAGCCAACUCUGUUAAAAGAUUCCUUAAACAUUGCUAUACUUUGCAAACACUUCCCAAGAUGUUUCAGAUUUUAAAUUUCCAUUCAGUUAAAUGAAAAUUAUAUGAUUGUCUGAUGCAUUGCAAUGUUUGGUCAUAAUCUUUCUUGUUUCAUAUUAUGUGGUUAUAAUAGCACAUCUUAACAUCUCAUUAGCUUUUAUAAUUGCUUCUGUACAUUGCCUUGAGGAAAAAAAAAUGCUGUAAACAUAAACAAGUAAAUAUUUCUUAGAAUUUCUUCAUCUGGCUCACUGUCUCUGAUCUCAUUUUAUUUAUAGCAUUCCUCUCACCUUAAUGUAAAACAUGCAUGUUUCUGCACUAAUAUUUGGUUUGUGUAUUGUAAUCUUGUGUUGCCUUUACUGACUGGUUAGUACUGUGUUUCAUAUUUCAGCCUUUCACACUUUAUCUAUCCUAGAUAAUUUUUAGGCAAUUAAAGUAAUAUGCUAGUCUGUCACAGGGUACACCUAC
Long non-coding RNA from Polypterus senegalus (gray bichir), 785 nucleotides. RefSeq lists it as uncharacterized. The record is from RefSeq and is a predicted model, not a curated record. The transcript has 3 exons. NCBI's taxonomy places the organism in Eukaryota, Metazoa, Chordata, Cladistia, Polypteriformes, Polypteridae.